RNAcentral lists this unclassified non-coding RNA (336 nucleotides) under soil metagenome. Its description in RNAcentral is "partial contains 5.8S ribosomal RNA, internal transcribed spacer 2, and large subunit ribosomal RNA". The stretch from base 1 to 120 matches the Rfam family "5.8S ribosomal RNA", at positions 35 to 154 of the family's 154-position model. The record is from RNAcentral.
GAUGAAGAACGUAGCGGAAUGCGAUAAGUAAUGUGAAUUGCAGAAUUCAGUGAAUCAUCGAAUCUUUGAACGCACAUUGCGCCCGCCAGUAUUCUGGCGGGCAUGCCUGUUCGAGCGUCAUUUCAACCUUCAAGCCCCCGGCUUGUGUUGGGGACCUGCGGCUGCCGCAGGCCCUGAAAAGCAGUGGCGGGCUCGCUGUCACACCGAGCGUAGUAGCAUACAUCUCGCUCUGGGCGUGCUGCGGGUUCCGGCCGUUAAACCACCUUCAUAACCCAAGGUUGACCUCGGAUCAGGUAGGAAGACCCGCUGAACUUAAGCAUAUCAAUAAGCGGAGGA